AUACGGAGGGUGCAAGCGUUACUGGGAAUCACUGGGCGUAAAGCGCGCGCAGGCGGUCUGAUAAGUUGGAUGUGAAAGCCUACGGCUCAACCGUAGAACUGCAUCCAAAACUGUCAGUCUAGAGUGUGGGAGAGGAAGAUGGAAUUAGUUGUGUAGGGGUCAAAUACGUAGAGAUACCUAGGAAUACCAAAAGCGAAGGCAAUCUUCUGGAACACUACUGACGCUGAGGCGCGAAGGAGUGGGGAGCAAACAGGAUUAGAUACCCCAGUAGUCC
RNAcentral lists this ribosomal RNA (274 nucleotides) under uncultured bacterium. RNAcentral describes it as "partial 16S ribosomal RNA". It matches the Rfam family "Bacterial small subunit ribosomal RNA", at positions 523 to 796 of the family's 1533-position model. The record is from RNAcentral.